AGUUUGCAUUAUUUAUGGAUCAAAUAUGGACAUAGCUGGAUGUGGAUAUGUCAGCCUUAGGUUCAUUAAACGAUUUAUUUCUCCAUUUUUAGAAUAAACGUUUAAGUGUAAAUAUGAAAGUACUGACGUGUGUUUUUGUUUGGGUAGCAGUGUUUAGGCGGCGGGAUUGUGGGUGGGUUAGUAGACGGAUUCUUGUAAGCAAAAGACUUGAGCUGUCGGACAAUUUAAGGCAGAAGUGAGGGGAGGCUGAGCGCGCGCAGACCCCAUCUUCCAGGGUGCUGUAUGCAUUUGAACCCGCAAGGAUUUUUUUCGGGCAACUUUGCAUCUUCAGAUGAUUUAAUUCGUCACACGUAGAGAUGCGCGUUGCUUUUUAUAAAAUGAACAGCAAUACGAACAGCUCAUAUGUAAAAGCGUAAGCGACAGCUCAGACACAGAACCCGUUCUUUAGCAUGUCCCAUUGGGGGGCGAAAAAUAGGCUAUACGAUUUGUGAGUGACGGAUUUCUGAUUUCAGUGUGGUCAUACUGAGAGCGCUCAAACAUCUGGCCAUCGGGUAAUAUUGUUAUUAGAGGGAAAAAAACUAAGCCGCAAAUCGAAAGGUCUAUAUAUAUAUAUAUGUAUGUGUGUACAUUAUAUAAUAGUAAUAAGAAUAAGGGUGAGCCCAGCUCCUGGCGUUACAGCCGUCUUGCGGCUGCCCUUUCGCUCCCGAGCCGAUCCGCGUCCCCUGAGAGCAGUCGAUUACUCAUCGGACGCUGCGUUAUGUCAAACCAAUGCGGGCUGUUGUCUCUCCUGUUGAAAACACACGUAAGCGAAGACCGCGGCGCAGAAGCGUCUGGCGCGGAUCGCCGCCGGCUGCUUGACGACGGUUUGCUGUCUAACCAGCGAUCCGCUUGCAGGAACUUGCGCCCCGGUGAAUGAAAGCGAAGAGAAGCGGAGCGGAUUUCAGCGUUGCGCCUGCUUCAUAGUCUGGCAUCAUUUUAUUUCCCCCUGACUUGCAGCAGAUGGAAAGGCAGUUUCAGAGGCCUCGAAGAGUGGAGAAAUUAUUCAAGGAUGGGUUUUAUAUACAGAUUAACUGACUUAUUUCUUUACGAAUUGCAGCACAACGAAGCGAGGGCUGCUUAAAGAUAUUUACGUUUGCGUUCUUUUCAGACUUCUGCCAUUUGCAGUAUUUUGACGUCUUUUUUAACCACAGUGGAUAUUACUGUAUGUACUACAAUCCUUCAGCGGAAGAUAGAUAACCAUGCAGCCGGUGUUCUGAGCGGACUUUAGAUCAAUCAAGCCUGAAUGCUGGUGCUUCGGGAGAAGAAGCUGGAGUAUUUGAUCUUCACUGUAUGGACCUCAGGCAGGUUCUGCUCCAUGCUGCUCGGAUAGGUUUAGGUGAUUGCAGAUGCCUGCCAGACGACGGAGGUCCACCACCAUGCUCUCUGUAAGCUCAGCGGGGGAGCCCAGCUCCAGUGCUCUCUGUCUUUCCUCGGGGGGUGACCGUCACUGCUGUACACAGGUGGCUCUGUGCAUCUCCCUACUCUUAGGCCUCCUCCUGCCACCGCCAGGGGCUUUGGGUUCCAACCUCAACUGUCACAAAGCAUGCAUCUGUGCCAGCAACAUCGUCAGCUGCUCUAAGAUGAACCUGACGGCCGUCCCGGCCGGCCUGCCGCGGUAUGCAGCCGUGCUGGAUCUCAGUUAUAAUGGCAUCUCUGGAUUGCGCGCUGAGUGGACCAUCAUCAAGUUGCCUAAACUCCACAGCCUCCUGCUCAGCCACAAUAGCCUGAGCUUCCUGUCCACGCAAGCCUUCGUCCAUAUUGCCCGCCUGCGCUACUUGGACCUGUCAUCCAAUGCGCUGAGGCAGCUGGACGAGUUAAUCUUCGAGCCCCUCGCCCAGCUGGAGGUGCUGCUGUUGUACAACAACCAUAUCUCCCAGAUCGACCGCUCGGCCUUUGUGGGUCUCAGCAGUCUACAGAAACUCUACCUGAGCCAGAACCAGGUGUCCCGCUUCCCCCUGGAGCUGGUCAAGCAGAGGACUCGGCUGGAGAGACUCAGCCUGCUGGAUGUGUCCUCCAACCGGCUGAAGGCCCUGCCCAUACGGGAACUCCAAGCCUUGCCUGCCUGGAUCAAGAACGGGCUCUACUUCCAUAACAACCCACUGGACUGUAGCUGUGAGCUCUACAGCCUGCUGGCUCACUGGAACAUCCGGCAGCUCAAUUCCGCCACGGACUUCAAGGACGAGCACACGUGUGUCCUGCCCGGCCCACAGAAGGCCACGGUGAGAAUCGUCGACCUGAAUGGGGAGUACAUGAACUGCAGCACGUUUGCAGAGUCUGAUGAAGAGGCCUACCUUGACCAGACGUUGAUCCUUGGCUGUGACACACGGCACCGUGACUUGGUCAAAACUUGGGUGACACCCAGCAACACAGUGGUUCCCCCUGCUGGAAACCAAAGCACUGUGGUGCUACCAGACGGCAGUUUGAGGAUCAGCCCCGUACGGCCAGGGGACUCUGGUCUCUACACCUGCUUUGCGGUGGGCCAGACUGUCAAUGAGACCCUCUAUGUGCUGUUGAGGGUGCAUAACUUCACCCUGGAUGGUGCUGGGGAGACACUCAACACGGGCUACACCACGCUGGUGGGCUGUUUGGCCAGUGUAGUGCUGGUGCUGGUUUACCUGUAUCUGACACCCUGCCGCUGCUUCUGCUGUCUGGGUCAUGGUGGCCGGGCCAAGGCUCACCGUGAGGACAGCGUUCGCUCUUCUGCGCUUAGUGCCUCACCCGGUCCUGACGAACUAGGCGCUAGAGCUGGCCUCGCUCGCCACGUGGCCUUCAUCGACCCCAAGGAGCUUCAGGGUCAAAAUGGCAAAGUGGGCCUUGUCAGUGAGCAGGAGGGAGAAGCCCAGAAGAGCAGGAGGAAGAAGUCGGAUGCGGAAUCCAUCAGCUCUGUCUUCUCAGACACUCCUAUUGUGGUCUGAGAGGAGGACCUUUCUCAUUGGCAUUGAGUGUCAUUUCAGGACCUCCAUGUUAUGUGCAUCUGUGAUGUCCGAGGAGAGGAUGGGGGUGGCCAUCCCCAGGUCACUAGGAACACUGGUUAGUGUUACCGUGAUGUCUGAGGACAGGAUGGGGGUGGCCAUCCCCAGGUCACUAGGAACACUGGUUAGUGUUACCGUGAUGUCCGAGGACAGGAUGGGGGUGGCCAUCCCCAGGUCACUAGGAACACUGGUUAGUGUUACCGUGAUGUCCGAGGACAGGAUGGGGGUGGCCAUCCCCAGGUCACUAGGAACACUGGUUAGUGUUACCGUGAUGUCUGAGGACAGGAUGGGGGUGGCCAUCCCCAGGUCACUAGGAACACUGGUUAGUGUUACCGUGAUGUCCGAGGAGAGGAUGGGGGUGGCCAUCCCCAGGUCACUAGGAACACUGGUUAGUGUUACCCUGAUGUCCGAGGACAGGAUGGGGGUGGCCAUCCCCAGGUCACUAGGAACACUGGUUAGUGUUACCGUGAUGUCCGAGGAGAGGAUGGGGGUGGCCAUCCCCAGGUCACUAGGAACACUGGUUAGUGUUACCGUGAUGUCUGAGGACAGGAUGGGGGUGGCCAUCCCCAGGUCACUAGGAACACUGGUUAGUGUUACCGUGAUGUCCGAGGACAGGAUGGGGGUGGCCAUCCCCAGGUCACUAGGAACACUGGUUAGUGUUACCGUGAUGUCCGAGGACAGGAUGGGGGUGGCCAUCCCCAGGUCACUAGGAACACUGGUUAGUGUUACCGUGAUGUCCGAGGACAGGAUGGGGGUGGCCAUCCCCAGGUCACUAGGAACACUGGUUAGUGUUACCGUGAUGUCCGAGGAGAGGAUGGGGGUGGCCAUCCCCAGGUCACUAGGAACACUGGUUAGUGUUACCGUGAUGUCUGAGGACAGGAUGGGGGUGGCCAUCCCCAGGUCACUAGGAACACUGGUUAGUGUUACCGUGAUGUCCAAGAACAGGUCUAUAUAUAUAUAUAUAUAUAUAUAUAUAUAU
Molecule: RNA transcript, 3990 nt
Organism: Brienomyrus brachyistius
Lineage: Eukaryota; Metazoa; Chordata; Actinopteri; Osteoglossiformes; Mormyridae
Gene name: amphoterin-induced protein 1-like
Exons: 3
Source: RefSeq, a predicted model, not a curated record